CACGAUAAAUGGCUGAGCUGGGAUUCGAACUCAAGCAGUCUGACUAACGGCCUGAGCUGCUGAUUGAUACAAACAUCCUGUGAUAGAGGAGCUGGGCCAACUGUGCCAGGUUUGGGGCAUGUUGAGGAAGUUUCUGAGUUACACCAUGUCUCUGCCUGCCCAGAAAGAUAGAACUGUUGCGGCAAGACCCCCAGGAAGAAGAACUAUGUCCUAGUGAAUCAGAAAUAAACUGUAAAAGAUGAUGGAGACUUCAGAGCAAGGACAAAAGCUUUUCUGCACACAUCGUUCUCUGCUUCACCCUUGGUUUGCCUCCUUCUCAUCUGAGUCCUGCAGCUCCUAGAGUCUGUUCCACACCCUUGCUCCAUAUUGGUGAAAAGCCUGCAUGGCCAGAAGCUGGGAGAGAGUGGAAGGCAGAGAGCUGUGAUCUAGG
RNAcentral lists this long non-coding RNA (430 nucleotides) under Equus caballus (horse). RNAcentral's name for it is "lncRNA (ENSECAG00000030997.3)". Lineage: Eukaryota; Metazoa; Chordata; Mammalia; Perissodactyla; Equidae. The record is from RNAcentral.